AUGGUGACCAAUGUUGCCAACCAGUUCAUUUGAAAAUUUGCCAUCUGAAAGAGUAGCUAUGUAAGCGAAAGGCACUAUACUAGAAGCUAGGGAAGAAGAGUCAAAAAUAAAAGAAUUUCUGUUCUCAAAGAGCUUCAAUCUGCUGAAGGGACUUUCCUCGCACAUAAGUGAAUGUGCUCAGCAUAACAUUGUAAAUGGAGUUCUGGAGACAGACAAAGACUGGUUAUGUGGAGCUGGGAGCAAAGUGAUAAUAGUUGAAGUCAAGGAACCAGAAAAGAUCACUCAGGAGAAUGCAGAGUAAGAAAGGAGACCCCCAAGCAAAACACCUGAGUACAUCUACAAAUUUGAGGAGUGUCAGGCCAUACACGAACCUAAGUCCUAACUGCAAGACUAGCCUUUUAAAGUGGUCAUUGUUGGGUUUCAUUUUUGUCCAAGUGGACACUAACUCCCAAGGUCACACAGCAUUUGGAAAUUGUGCUUACACUGGAAGAAUAAGAGAAUAUUGGAACCACACCCUUCCUCUCUAA
RNAcentral lists this long non-coding RNA (527 nucleotides) under Monodelphis domestica (gray short-tailed opossum). RNAcentral describes it as "lncRNA (ENSMODG00000046973.1)". The record is from RNAcentral. Lineage: Eukaryota; Metazoa; Chordata; Mammalia; Didelphimorphia; Didelphidae.